CGCUGGUCUCCACGGUUGGGAGCAUGGUGUUCAACGAGGGCGAGGCCCAGCGGCUCAUCGAGAUCCUGUCUGAGAAGGCUGGCAUCAUUCAGGACACCUGGCACAAGGCCACUCAGAAGGGUGACCCUGUGGCGAUUCUGAAACGCCAGCUGGAAGAGAAGGAAAAACUGCUGGCCACAGAACAGGAAGAUGCGGCUGUCGCCAAGAGCAAACUGAGGGAGCUCAACAAGGUACAGCCUGAGUGGGCUCAGAGAUGGCUUGUCCUCUCCCAUCCUCAGAGGAUCCCCGCCCCAUCCACGGUGGAUCCCGGGCUCCGAGAUGCUGGGGCCUGCCUGGAACGUAGCUGGCUGUCAGGCCGCUGAGUGGGGACUGCCGCUUAUCUGCUGCCUAAAGAGCCGAGGGCCGGCGGCUCACCCUUGGCAGUGCUCGUGGCUCUACGGCGUGGUGGCUUCCUUCGUGGCUGUAAGAACGCAGGGAAGUGAAGCAAGGGUUUGGAAGUUAAGCAGCAUCAGUUUGUGAUGGGGAUGGACCAGAUCUGGCUUUCACUAGACAGGUCCUGCAGUCACAGGCCAGCUUUCUAGG
RNAcentral lists this small RNA (582 nucleotides) under Pongo abelii (Sumatran orangutan). RNAcentral describes it as "retained intron". The record is from RNAcentral. Lineage: Eukaryota; Metazoa; Chordata; Mammalia; Primates; Hominidae.